Molecule: ribosomal RNA, 460 nt
Filed under: uncultured bacterium
Lineage: Bacteria
Description: partial 16S ribosomal RNA
Rfam family: Bacterial small subunit ribosomal RNA
Source: RNAcentral
CCUACGGGUGGCAGCAGUGAGGAAUAUUGGUCAAUGGACGGAAGUCUGAACCAGCCAUGCCGCGUGCAGGAAGACGGCUCUAUGAGUUGUAAACUGCUUUUGUACAAGAGUAAACCUGGAUACGUGUCUUCAGCUUAGAGUACUGUACGAAUAAAGAUCGGCUAACUCCGUGCCAGCAGCCGCGGUAAUACGGAGGAUCCAAGCGUUAUCCGGAUUUAUUGGGUUUAGAGGGUGAGUAGGCGGAUUGAUAAGUUAGAGGUGAAAUGUCCGAGCUUAACUCGGGAACUGCCUCUAAUACUGUUGAUCUAGAGAGUAGAUGCGGUAGGCGGAAUGUAUGGUGUAGCGGUGAAAUGCUUAGAGAUCAUACAGAACACCGAUUGCGAAGGCAGCUUACUAAUCUAUAUCUGACGUUGAGGCACGAAAGCGUGGGGAGCAAACAGGAUUAGAUACCCGAGUAGUC